Patella vulgata (common limpet) is the source of this 1083-nucleotide long non-coding RNA. RefSeq lists it as uncharacterized. Lineage: Eukaryota; Metazoa; Mollusca; Gastropoda; Patellidae. The record is from RefSeq and is a predicted model, not a curated record. The transcript has 2 exons.
UCCAGUAAUCAAAGCAGACGAUCGAUUCGUUGUUCACAACCCCGAUUCUUACACUAGGCGGGUCAACAUAAUAAGCAUGAAUUGAUGACGUCACAUAGACUUAUCAACAACGAGCGUCUAUAAAAUGACGCGUCCUGCAAACUUUGAUUCUUGCAGUUAAAACUCUUCCCGGGAUUCCACAACUCCUGUUUGAUACGAAACGUAACGAGAACUUCGCCUUAAAGGCAUAAAAGAAACAUCUGAAAUGGAAAAAUCAGUUGUAACGUCAUUAUGCCUUCUCCUUGUCGCCGUAGUUUUCAUCCAUUGCGCUGUUGGCAUGGGUGAUUCGAAACAAGCCAGUUUUGGUGAUGCUCCGGCAGAUCGAAAAUAUCAGGACUGGUAUGAGUGGCUAGUUAAAAGAAAUUUCGGUGGAAUGAAUAAGGGAUUCGGCGUACAGGAGAAUGGAAAAUUUUUGGACUGGGAGAAUAUGUUAAAAAAUGGAAUAUCUAAGAGGCAGUUGAGCGUUUCACCAGAUCGCUUUGGGAGUUAUGGCGGUUAUUUCAGCAAUGGGCUACAGGAUUGGAGGCGUGCUUUCACUGGAUCAAAAAGACAGGGGGCGACCAAAACACGAAAAUAGACAUUGUAGGCAUUUUGGACAUUGGGUGAUACGAUAUGUCACUUUAUAUACAUCAAUUGGUUUCCGGUAUUUAUUUAAUAACUCUAUUUAAUGCAGUGGUUUUAAUUUCAUUCUCUAUGUAGUUGUUUAAUUUCAUUGCACUAUGCAGUUGUUUAAUUUCAUUUCUAAGUAUACUGUACUGUUUUAUUUCUUUGCUCUAAAUAUUAUUUUAUUGAUGAGGGUAUAGAUACCCCCACCCCCUCUAUGUCGUUAUUCACAAGAAUUGCAUUCACUGUAACUAUAAGCCCCGUUUAGUCAGUUCUUUAAGGUGACCAGUUCUUUGUCUUUUUGUUAACUGCUAAAAUUCUUGAUUGUACAAAUUGAUAUAAUAACUCUUGCAAAUUAUUCAUUAUGCUCAACGUCAAAAUUUCACAAACAAAGUGUAUGUUUUCGCAAUAAAAACUAUAAAACUAAAAAAAAAAAAAAAA